This is an RNA transcript of Mercenaria mercenaria, 2623 nucleotides long. RefSeq lists it as uncharacterized. NCBI's taxonomy places the organism in Eukaryota, Metazoa, Mollusca, Bivalvia, Venerida, Veneridae. The transcript is spliced from 4 exons. The record is from RefSeq and is a predicted model, not a curated record.
CAUGCAGUAAUAGGGUGCAUUGUUCAAGGUCGGUUUAAGGAUAUUAAUUGGCCGUGUUAAUGGCAAUGCGUUUUAAUAUGCAAGAUACAUAAUUACGCUAAACAAUGAAUUGAUAAAAGGAAAAUAUCAAGAAUAAAGAAAAUAUAUAGAUAAUUCGAUAAAGACAAGUAUGAAACAAACAAUAGGUCACGUUAACAAUUAUACUAAUAUUAGAAUUAAGAUUGUGUCAACAUUGGGAAACCAUAUGAAUGAUCUACUUUUGUUAUCUUUAAAAAUAAAUAAAAUGUAGGAGUUUAGUGACCACUUUAAGGAAAGUGGACCGUGCUAAAACUAUUCUGAAGUUUAUCAUAAUAUUAUACUAUUUAAGACAACAACUCUUAGUAUUUUACAUCAAAACAUAAUUCCACUACAGUUCUUGAUUUCAAAAUGGCGGAUAUGUCGGGAGGCGUUUUGGCGACAUCAUCAAAGAAAAAAGAGUGUACCCUGAGAAUGGGAAGUUCAAUUACAAGUCAGGGAGGAAUCGCAAGGGUUGGACCAUUCGUUCGGGUUGAAGAAACCGGACAGCUUUGCUUUCUGACGACAAAACCUUCUUUAAUUGAAGGCAUGAGAUCUGGCGUCAAAGUAAAUCAUAUCGUCGGUAAUGAAGUUUAUCCUUUGGGGACCAUAUUAAUUCCAGCAGGACUAGAGGGAGAUGUCACACUUGUUAGUGCAAAUCCGAAAUAUGUCCCGAAGGACAUUGGACAGAUUUAUCGAAAUAGAUCCGAUUUUUAUGACAUUGCCUAAUAGAUACAUUGCAUCAUCCAUGUACCUAACUAUAAUACUAGAUGGAAUUUCAAUAAAACACACAAUAAUAUCAAUCUGAGCAUUUAUAUGAUCAUACAGCUGAAAUGUGCAGUCUUCCUGUGUGAGUGCGCUAACUUUCGAAGAAAUGAACGGCGAAGACCAAUCUGGGACAAUACAAUUAGUUGUGUUUGCCGAGGAAGUGCGCAUGUCAGAAGCGCGAAUAUAUCCAUGUCCUUCACACUACGGUGGCUCUCAUGAAUCAAUUUGUCUGGUGGAAAUGCUUCCUCCGACCAAAGAUUUUUUUCGUGCGGGAGAUAGUGGGUCAGCUGUUUUUACAAUAGAUGAACACGGCUUUUUGCAUUGUGUAGGAUUAUUGAUGGGCAAAACCAAAGGAGAUCCAGAAUUAUUCAAGAUAAUGAAAAUCAAUGCGUGUAUGCACCAUUUUAAAGAGCAACAUGGAUACACAAUACAGAUGAUAGAAACGAACUUUGUAAGUACUUGUAUAUCCAUACUAGUAUAGCACGUAUUUUAACUCACUGGUGUGAACUUUCUUCACGUAUGUAUACUCCCCUAAUAACUCCCUGUAGGGUAUGGACAAGGCUUUUAUAAAUGUUUAAAAGAGGGCUAUGCAUUUACAUACUAAGUUUAGUAACAAUUAAUCAGUACUUUUGAUGUUAUAUAAAUAUUUGUAGCUAAAUUUUAAUUCUAUGAUAUUAUACUUAAGGUAAAUACAAUACGGUGUAGGUUUUUUAACAUACCCGGUAGUAAAUUAUCUCACUCCUCUCAAUCUACCUCACUUUGACGCGUGGAUAUAAACCGGAAAGUUUUUUUUUCCAAAUUUGGAAAGAAGGGAGGAUUGUAACAUAUGUCAGGUACAUAUAAAAUGUAAAGAAAAUGUUAAAUUUUGAGUAUAAUUUUUGAAAUUUUAUUUAAAUGUCCAUAAUUAUCAACUUACCUGACAUAUGUACAAUAGGAUUUGAUUUUCCAUGCAGUUCCUCCCGGAGGUUGGCUAUCUCUGUAAAAUUUUCUGCUUACCAAUAGAUAUUUUCCAUUUGUUUUAUUCCUUUAUUAAAAUCCCUCGUCUGUACCUAUCUACACUGUAUACAUAACUCUCGUCAUUCUACUGUCAAAAUUAUUAUUUAAAUAUGUAUACUAGUAUACGGUUUCACAGUUUAUCAUUCAAAUACUGUACAGCCAUAAACUGUAGAAAGGGCUUCUACCUCAUAUGAGCACAUCGACAUUGAUAUGUUUUUGAAUGUGCCGAAUAUAACUCGACUGAAAGGAAAGUCUAAUCCCCCAGAAAACUAGCACUGGGGGUUUUCAGAUACAUUUUACAAAGGUAUCGAUAGAAGCAUGACUCUAGUCUUUCAGUGGUGCUUCUCUAAGGAGAGCCCAUGACGGUCCAAAUGACCUAUUUUAUUAAUUUUUGACGUGUGCAAUGACAGUAUCGUUCAAUUUAAAUAUCUUUUGAAUAGUUUUUGUGACUUGUCGACUGCCUGGAGACAAACUUUCAUUUGUACCAGAUAUUGAUAUGGCAGCUUGCUUGCAUUUUCACAAGACUGAUUAAAAAAUCUGGACCUUAAGCAAGUUUUAUUAUUGGAGUUUGUGGGAAAAUCACAAUUGUUUUUAAAAUCAAAAAACAUUUUACAUUUCAUGUUUUAUUGAACCUUCUCACAGUUUUAAAUUAAUGUGCAUAUAUUAAUUGUAAAUGUCUUUGUGCAUAUUUUAGAUAACUGAUUGUAUUAAAUGAAAGAAGUCUGUUUAUUUCUUUCUGAUUUGAAGAAAUUAUUGGAAUUAUUUCUUGUCAACAGCAAUUUCAUUUUUAGAUAGAUAGAGACAU